AUUGAACGCUGGCGGCAUGCCUUACACAUGCAAGUCGAACGGCAGCAUGAUCUAGCUUGCUAGAUUGAUGGCGAGUGGCGAACGGGUGAGUAAUACAUCGGAACGUGCCCUGUAGUGGGGGAUAACUAGUCGAAAGAUUAGCUAAUACCGCAUACGACCUGAGGGUGAAAGUGGGGGACCGCAAGGCCUCAUGCUAUAGGAGCGGCCGAUGUCUGAUUAGCUAGUUGGUGAGGUAAAGGCUCACCAAGGCGACGAUCAGUAGCUGGUCUGAGAGGACGAUCAGCCACACUGGGACUGAGACACGGCCCAGACUCCUACGGGAGGCAGCAGUGGGGAAUUUUGGACAAUGGGCGAAAGCCUGAUCCAGCAAUGCCGCGUGUGUGAAGAAGGCCUUCGGGUUGUAAAGCACUUUUGUCCGGAAAGAAAUGUCUCUGGUUAAUACCUGGGGUCGAUGACGGUACCGGAAGAAUAAGGACCGGCUAACUACGUG
RNAcentral lists this ribosomal RNA (490 nucleotides) under uncultured bacterium. RNAcentral describes it as "partial 16S ribosomal RNA". It matches the Rfam family "Bacterial small subunit ribosomal RNA", at positions 30 to 507 of the family's 1533-position model. The record is from RNAcentral.